RNAcentral lists this ribosomal RNA (718 nucleotides) under Salmonella enterica. Its description in RNAcentral is "partial 23S ribosomal RNA". It matches the Rfam family "Bacterial large subunit ribosomal RNA", at positions 784 to 1503 of the family's 2925-position model. The record is from RNAcentral. Lineage: Bacteria; Pseudomonadati; Pseudomonadota; Gammaproteobacteria; Enterobacterales; Enterobacteriaceae.
UAAUGUUGAAAAAUUAGCGGAUGACCUGUGGCUGGGGGUGAAAGGCCAAUCAAACCGGGAGAUAGCUGGUUCUCCCCGAAAGCUAUUUAGGUAGCGCCUCGUGAAUUCAUCUCCGGGGGUAGAGCACUGUUUCGGCUAGGGGGCCAUCCCGGCUUACCAACCCGAUGCAAACUGCGAAUACCGGAGAAUGUUAUCACGGGAGACACACGGCGGGUGCUAACGUCCGUCGUGAAGAGGGAAACAACCCAGACCGCCAGCUAAGGUCCCAAAGUCAUGGUUAAGUGGGAAACGAUGUGGGAAGGCCCAGACAGCCAGGAUGUUGGCUUAGAAGCAGCCAUCAUUUAAAGAAAGCGUAAUAGCUCACUGGUCGAGUCGGCCUGCGCGGAAGAUGUAACGGGGCUAAACCAUGCACCGAAGCUGCGGCAGCGACGCUGAUGCGUUGUUGGGUAGGGGAGCGUUCUGUAAGCCUGCGAAGGUGGCCUGUGAGGGUUGCUGGAGGUAUCAGAAGUGCGAAUGCUGACAUAAGUAACGAUAAAGCGGGUGAAAAGCCCGCUCGCCGGAAGACCAAGGGUUCCUGUCCAACGUUAAUCGGGGCAGGGUGAGUCGACCCCUAAGGCGAGGCCGAAAGGCGUAGUCGAUGGGAAACGGGUUAAUAUUCCCGUACUUGGUGUUACUGCGAAGGGGGGACGGAGAAGGCUAUGUUGGCCGGGCGACGGUU